Molecule: small nucleolar RNA, 107 nt
Filed under: Zalophus californianus (California sea lion)
Lineage: Eukaryota; Metazoa; Chordata; Mammalia; Carnivora; Otariidae
Also listed under: 1 other name
Description: Small nucleolar RNA U3 (ENSZCAG00015001057.1)
Rfam family: Small nucleolar RNA U3
About the family: Small nucleolar RNAs (snoRNAs) are involved in the processing and modification of rRNA in the nucleolus.
Source: RNAcentral
AAGACUAUACUUUCAGGGAUCAGUUCUAUAGUUUGUUACUAGAGAAGUUUCUCUGAAAGAGUAGAGUACCCGAAAGCAAGUGGAAUGGGUUUUCCCACCAUCUUGCU